Solanum dulcamara is the source of this 1285-nucleotide long non-coding RNA. RefSeq lists it as uncharacterized. The transcript has 3 exons. Lineage: Eukaryota; Viridiplantae; Streptophyta; Magnoliopsida; Solanales; Solanaceae. The record is from RefSeq and is a predicted model, not a curated record.
AGAGAAGAGAUGGCCUGGGAAGCCGAGGAAGAGAUGAAGGAUAAGUAUCCUCACUUGUUUUCUACGCCUACAGGUAAUCUAAACCUCUCGAUUAAUUAUAUUGAUUGACAUAUGAAACUAUUUGUUGUUGCAAAAAAAAGACUAUUCCCCCAAAUUUCUUAUAAGACUUUAUGAGGCGGGUUUAACAUUCGAGGACGAAUGUUCUAAAGGGGGGAAGAAUGUUACAUUCCGUAUUUUUGCAUUUUGGAUUAUUCGUACGCUAACGAUUAUAAAUUCAAGGACUUUUAAUUUUGAAUUUUAAAAGGACAUGAUUUGUUGUAGAUGCCAAGUUAUAUGAAUAAUUUAUGUGUAGUAAAAUACAUCUCAAGAAGGACCCUUAAGCCAAAUCAAAAUAGAAGCCAUCAAAUAUGUUUUUCUUAAAGUUACGUUUCGGGUAAGCUGACUUCGGGAGGCCAUAACCUCUUUAUAAUUUGAGAAUUUGGGAAAACUCUCAACAUGAAAGUUGUAGAUAAUUGAAAUAUCUUUCCAACCAUAGGUCGUGGGACGAAAUGUGAUAUCGGAGUAAUAAGAUAUAGACGUUUUAAGUCUGACAGGCCAAACUAAAUAGUGAAUUCGGCCCAACCCAAUUUUAAUUCGGGUCAGGCCCAAUACCCACGAAAUUAAUCAAAAUUCUAUGUCUUCCUUCAUAGUUUAGACCAAGAAAUAUCUGGAAAUUUCCAGAGAGAGUAAGAUAAGGGAAAGCUAGAGAGAAACACCAACAUCCACCACAAUUAAAGCCCCGAAUCUCAAAGCUCUUGAAGAGAAAAUUGUUGUACGUCGCGUUGGCUUCAAUUUGAGCUAGAAAUCAGCCAAUAAGGAGAAGAUUUUAUGUGGUGCUGCAAAUUUAAGGUUGAGACAAUAUUGGACAACAUAUACGUAUAAACGCUAAAGGUACAAAUACUCAUUUUGGAGAGCCGCCAACUUAGGAUUCUACUCAACGAGUUUGAAGUGCUCCAUUGUCUCGGAGCCCAAACUUUGGGUACUAAUCCUUAUAAUGUAUAUAUUUGUGUAUUUAGGGGUACGACGGGGCCCUGUCCCGUCAUAUGCUAUUGUUAAUUCUCUUAGAGGUCUGUAGACAUAUGAGUGGGUUGUAUAUAGAUGUUGUCCGGUGUACUAGUAUGACUUAUGUUUUUGGACGUUUACAUUCAGAAUGGAAGCCUUGUCGGCUUACAUAUUAUGUUAUCUUAUUUUUGACAAUUAAGACUCCCCAAGAAAUAGCUGAUUUUGGUAUAUAUAUAAGUGACCG